UCCGACCUCAGAUCGGACGAGAUUACCCGCUGAAUUUAAGCAUAUAACUAAGCGGAGGAAAAGAAACUAACAAGGAUUUCCCCAGUAACGGCGAGUGAAGCGGAAAAAGCCCAGCACCGAAUCCCUCGGUGUGAUGCCGACGGGAACUGUGGUGUGUGGGACGCCACCAGUCGCAUCAGCGGGCGCCGAAGUCCUCCUGAUCGGGGCUUCACCCAUAGCGGGUGUAAGGCCUUUGCAGGUGCUUCGCUGUGCGGCCGCGAGCGUCCUAGGAGUCGGGUUGUUUGGGAAUGCAGCCCAAAGUGGGUGGUAAACUCCAUCU
This 319-nucleotide ribosomal RNA is filed under the name Peronia sp. UF 352288. Its description in RNAcentral is "eukaryotic LSU rRNA". It matches the Rfam family "Eukaryotic large subunit ribosomal RNA", at positions 1 to 311 of the family's 3401-position model. Lineage: Eukaryota; Metazoa; Mollusca; Gastropoda; Systellommatophora; Onchidiidae. The record is from RNAcentral.